This 367-nucleotide ribosomal RNA is filed under the name uncultured bacterium. RNAcentral describes it as "bacterial SSU rRNA". It matches the Rfam family "Bacterial small subunit ribosomal RNA", at positions 32 to 390 of the family's 1533-position model. The record is from RNAcentral.
AAUCAACGCUGGCGGCGUGCCUCAGACAUGCAAGUCGAACGAUUAAAGCUCUCUUCGGAGAGUGCAUAGAGUGGCGCACGGGUGAGUAACACGUAAGUAAUCUACCUUCGAGUGGGGAAUAACGUCCGGAACGGACGCUAAUACCGCAUAAUGCAGCGGCAUCGCAAGAUGACAGUUGUUAAAGGAGCAAUUCGCUUGAAGAGGAGCUUGCGGCAGAUUAGCUAGUUGGUAAGGUAAUGGCUUACCAAGGCUACGAUCUGUAACCGGUCUAAGAGGACGGUCGGUCACACUGACACUGAAUAACGGGUCAGACUCCUACGGGAGGCAGCAGUCGGGAAUUUUGGGCAAUGGGCGAAAGCCUGACCCA